AUACCACUUGUUGCCUCGGCGGAUCAGCCCGCUCCCGGUAAAACGGGACGGCCCGCCAGAGGACCCCUAAACUCUGUUUCUAUAUGUAACUUCUGAGUAAAACCAUAAAUAAAUCAAAACUUUCAACAACGGAUCUCUUGGUUCUGGCAUCGAUGAAGAACGCAGCAAAAUGCGAUAAGUAAUGUGAAUUGCAGAAUUCAGUGAAUCAUCGAAUCUUUGAACGCACAUUGCGCCCGCCAGUAUUCUGGCGGGCAUGCCUGUUCGAGCGUCAUUUCAACCCUCAAGCACAGCUUGGUGUUGGGACUCGCGUUAAUUCGCGUUCCUCAAAUUGAUUGGCGGUCACGUCGAGCUUCCAUAGCGUAGUAGUAAAACCCUCGUUACUGGUAAUCGUCGCGGCCACGCCGUUAAACCCCAACUUCUGAAUGUUGACCUCGGAUCAGGUAGGAAUACCCGCUGAACUUAAGCAUAUCAAUAAGCGGAGGAA
RNAcentral lists this ribosomal RNA (484 nucleotides) under Fusarium oxysporum f. sp. lentis. Its description in RNAcentral is "eukaryotic LSU rRNA". The stretch from base 118 to 271 matches the Rfam family "5.8S ribosomal RNA". Lineage: Eukaryota; Fungi; Ascomycota; Sordariomycetes; Hypocreales; Nectriaceae. The record is from RNAcentral.